GUGCGGGAGCGGGGGGAAUCUUCCCAAUGCUUCCCCUCCUCCCCGGGUGGCGGAGGCGGCGGGGCGGGGGGGGGGGGGGGGCUCUCGGUGAUUCGGCGAUCGGCCGCGUGGGCUGGGGCCAGGCUGCGGAAUCCCGAGCCGCCGAUGGGACGGAUCGGGGCGGGGAGGGAGGGCUGUUGGGACACGAUGGGGUUAAGCUGGGUCGGCCGCCAUUUUGGAUGCCGAGCCGCCUCGCUGCGGGAAGGUGUUGGCCAAAACCGCAAGGGAUGCUCUUGGGCGUGACCUGCUGUUUGACCUCUCUCACUUGCCAUUGAAAUGAGGUUCACACUGUGGUGAUUCAGGUUGGCUCAGAUUUACAUUUUUUAAACAAAUCAAACUACCGUAUGUUACUUGUAAGUUUAUGCUCAGGUUUUGUUUGAUGAGGGCGUUUGGGGUUUUAUUAUUUUGUUUUCUUUAAUAAGAAAGAUAUCACUCAGAGGCAUGACUAGACUUGCUUGCAAGUGGUUACAUUUAGCUGUAAUCUGCCUGGUGAGUUGUAGGAGGAAAAUUGCACUAGUUUGAACUGGAUUUAGUAGCAGGGAUAUUUUAAUUUGGGGCAGCAGAGAGAAAAUUGUAUAACACUGUUGUGCUGUAGUAGGAGAAGAAGCCAGUGAAUUGCAUGAUUUUUCCAUCUUUGUAAUCAGUUUGUUAUGCAGAAAGCAGUGCCGUGGGAUUCAGCGUUUUAUCUGCUGGGUUUCCCCUGGCAGCAUCUGAAGAAGUUCAUUAUAAGUGUUUAUCACAUGAUCCACUUAAUCAAACCACUGAAACUCGGAGAAUAAGUCAUUCUAACAAGACCCUUCAGAGCUGCCUUAUAAGCUGCUUACUGAUACACUCUUCCUUGGUGAGUGUACAAUGAGCUUCCUUGUAUCCUGGUCUAUGAUACAGGAAGUUCAUUAUCCCCAGUCCAAAUUCAGAUGGAGAGAAAGGAAGCAGGGCUUACAAAGAAGCGACAGAUAAUUUGCAAAGGAUUUUAGUUAGCCACUCAAAUCCCAGAUAGAGUCAGACUGUAAGCUCUUCAUAACAACAGCCUUCUGGUUUCCAGCAUUAGGCACAGAGCAGCUAUCUAUGUAGCUGGCUCUAAUGUUGUAAAAUACAGAUGACACAUGAGAAAUUAUUUGCUUCUUUUGAUUAGUGGUUAGCUAAUGGAAGCAUGUGAGAAAAAAGAGAAAGCAGAACCGAAACCGUGCUUUUAGCUGGGUAAUAGCACAUAUACUGCAUAACAGCAGCAAAGCUGAUAUCUGGGCUGAUGCAAAAUGCCUUGAAAGCCUGCUAAAUCCCAGCGUGCGCUAGGGUCUGAGAUACCGAGACUUGUCUGACAAGCCAGGAGCUCAGAGACGUCCUGUCUGCAGCCUGUGUUUGCGCACUGUAUGUCUGGUAGGAUGAAAUGCAUUUCCUUGUGAUGUACCUAGGAAAUGUUCUGGUUGUAGGGAGCAGGUGAGUCAAGGGCUCCUCUGCCUCCUUGAAGGCGUUCAUUUUACCGAGCUCUGUCACAAGCGACAUGACACCAGAUUUUCUGCACUCACUGGAUUUUCUCACUGUUGCUAUUUCACAGACAGUGUCUCCUAAAAGCUUGGCUUCACGCUGUCUGCUAAAGACCAGUUUGGGUACCACCACGGAUGUAGGCUUGGACCAACCUUAAUGUAGAAAUGUCUUGGGUAAUUUUCCCAAGCACCACCCUGUUUCCAUACAGUAGCGCUACUUAGCUAUACCUCUUCUUUCACCUUCCAACCUCACGGGAAGGCAGAACAGGGUUACGUCAGACCAAAUGCUGAUUUUGUGUAGGGACACACAGGAUGAGUCUGAUGUGGGUCUCCAGAUGAACCUUUUUUGUACUGGCAACUGCCAUUGGGACAAGGAGCAUUGGGCAGUUUGAGACAAGCUGCUCUGUAAGACAUUGAAACCAGGGAAGUGUGCAAGACUGAAAAAUAUGGGCAACAGGAAAAAAACCCCACCAGGCUGGUUUGAUGGGGAUGAUGCUUUUUCCCUAGUGUAGCUCCAGUGAAGCAGGUCACAAAAUUCGCUCUGUUGUCCAGGGACCGCUUUGAGAGAAGGCUGAAACCUGGCUUUCCAGUGCUGAAGUCCAUCCAGCCCAGAGCUUUAAAAGAUGUUAAUUACUCCUGGGAGUAAUUAACUCCGGCCUGGAGUGAGCAAGGAGUCUGGACUGCGUCAAUCAACAGAUGUGAGGAUUUGAAAUAUGCAAUUUUCAUUCGUUGUGUUAGAAGAAACCUCUUUGUUUCCCAUGUACUUCUGUACCUGGCUGACUUGCCUUGAUGCAGGUGUCGGUCUCUUGACUGCUGAUACACCGAUACACCAAGUUGGCAUCGGUAUGCCUGCGUCCUCAGGAGGGGCUGUGCUGCUGUAGUAGGUUGGUGUGCAGCUAAUAAAACAGGACACAAAAGCCUGGAUGAAAAUACUGUUUUGCUGUCUUUUCCCUCUUCAUUUUAAAGUAGUAAAUGCUAAAUUAUUUUACCUCUUUUUAAAAUAAAGCAUGAAGCAAAAAAAGAUGAAUCUGCAAGCUGGUUACUUUUGGUACUUCAUUCAGUUUUUUUACAGUGUAGCUCCCUUCCUCUUUCUCAGUUCUUUAGUGUGCUGUGCUGUCUGCUUUUUCGGUUUCUGUUGUGUCUAUUUAAAGAGCCCCCUUUCAUCUCUCUUUUGGGACAGCCUUAAUGCUGGCUUUCUGCUGUUUCAGCUUCUAUACAGCCAGUGCUUCAAGAAAAGUGUCUCUCUUGUAAAGCUGGGAGGAGAAUGGACCCAUAAAAAUAAAUACGGUUUGUAUGCACGUAGUAUUUAAUCAGUAAGUCUCCAGUAACUUUACCUAAGUGACCAGUCUGCUAUCAUCUCAGCUUCUUAGGUAAGGAGACUGGAGCAGAGUGAGUUGAUAACUUUCUGCAGUCUGCAGCAAUGCAGUAGUAAAGUGGAGAAUAAAACUCGUUUUCCAAGUGACUUUUCAGUGCCUGACCCACUGCCCUGUACAUGGGGAGAGCCAGUACCAAGCAUCUGGAAUCAUUGUUGGUAGGGCUGUCUUUAGUCUGCUGUAAAGAGUAAUGGGCAGUUGUCCACUGCGUCUGCCAGUUUGGCAUUCAGGAGCCACUAGUGCCCAUAUCGAUGCUGAGGCUGCAUCUCAGGGUCUCUGCACGACCUGCUUGGAGGGAAGAUCUGGGAGGAGGGCUGUGAUGGGUGUUGUGUGCAUCUGACUGCAUGCUUUCACAUGUGUGAGAUGCACACAACGCCCAUUGAGAACUGAAGCGAUGCUACCAGAUACUGACCUGACUGGGUUUGGUCAGUGCCAAGCCAGGCUCAAUUCUCUCCCCCAGCCUAGGGAUUAAAGACUCUUUAAUGCAUUUGCUGUUCCUGGGCGGUUCAGCUCGGCCCUCAGCAGCAUUACCUGUUUAGAAGUGUUUCUCGCUGAAUUGCUUCCUUUGAAGACUGCAGGCUUUGUAACAGUGGACUGCAGCACCUGCUGCUUGCUGGAAAUCUCAAGGCUGGCACAUGAGAGCAAUGCAGCGCUGAACGUGCCAGUCAUAAAGCAUCACAUUUUGCAGAUUUUCGCUGGAGGUAGCUGAUGAAAAACAGAACAGACAUGUUGUAAGGGCUGUCAGCCCAAGUAAAGGAAGGCAGCUUUGAAGAAAGCCUCCAAGCCAGAAUUUCCAGAAUACACUUUCUUUAGAAAAAAGUAGAAAAUUCAAAGAACGAAAUUGAGUCCGAACGACCUCACUGCAGGUGGUGCUGGUCAUGAUUUUUUAAAAUAAAUUUUAAUUGUUAACUAUUGUAAUCAUUGCAUUUUGUCCAGUGUCUGCCAUUACAGUAUCUUUUUUUGCAGCCCUAGAAAACCCACAUUUUUGUGGUUCUCUGGGGCUUUCCCACAGCACGCAUUUCCCCCUCCCUUAGAAGACUGGUACAAUACAACAGAGAGGACUUGUUCUGCCCAACCUGCAAACUAGGUGCUGGAAGGUCACCUGCUCCCUGGCAGGAUUUGGGCCACCCCUUUCCCCCUUCCACAACAGCCAGUCCUGCAGGGAUUUAUACCCACUGGGUGCAUCUGUGUUUCACCUGAGAUUCCCUGGAUCCGUCCAUUAGCCCCACGGGCUUGGUGGCCGCAGAGGUUGCUGCGAAGCUCCCUUGACCUGAGGGUUAGGUGGGCAAGAAGGUGCUUGCUGUCUCCUGCUCCGGAAACUGCAGAAGUCCCUGAUACCUUUCAUUGAAGAACAAAUGUUAAAAAAACAAAACACCCUGCCUUUGCUUUUGGUGGCAUUUUUUCCAGUUAGCAGGGAUCGGCACAACGGCAUGCAGUGCCCAGAGGCACGAUGGAGGAUACGUGCAUUUGUAUUUGUCUGUCCCAUCUACACCAGCGAGCCCUUGAAAUGUAGCCUAGCUGGCAGAUCUGGUCAGGCUGGGAAACUUCGCUUUAGAUGUUUUUUUGUUUACAAGUGAUCUUGGCCACAGACAGGGACACACAGCCGGUGGUCUGUGCACAGCUCUGUGAUCAGGCUGAGGCAGGGCUGCGAGCCUGUGAAGGCUGGAGUGGGGCUGAGCUCUCCCAGCUUAUUCCUGGCUCGAUUUGGAGCCAGCAUUGGGGAGGCUGCUCCUCUGCUGCAGGUGGGUGUCUCGGGGCUUGGUUUGGCUUUGCCUGUGCGGGCAGCAGCAGCCAGCACCCGUCUGCGGCCAUGGCUCGGAGCGGGUGCGCAAUGGACACCUCGGCUUGCUCCUGCUGUGCUUCUCCUGCAGGCCAGAGGACGCCUCUCGCUGCUAGCAUUAACUGCUUUAAUACAGGUAUCACACAAAUGCAGAUAUCCUUCCUCCUCCACUCAUUAAAACAGCAUUGGACAAGGUGCGAGAGGUGCGUGUCGGAAGGCCUGGCAUCUCGGGGAGGGAUUUGCAAGCAGUUUUUGUGAGAUGCUCGUGUGCCAGCGCGGUUUGUGCUGGCUGCAGGGGCCCGUGCGGCUGGUGCAGCUCAAGCAGAAGUGACGCCGUGGAGAUUCCUAACAAUACUGAUGUGCCGUAUGGCAGCCUUGGAACUUCAGAAGGCCGAUGUUGGGGACCGAGAAGAAGGAGCAGUACCAGCCCGUUGGUACUGCGAACCCGGUAUUAUGGCAGUGCUUUCCUGCAGCAACAUUGUGAUAAAGGAUGGUGGAGGGGCAGUGACCUGCCGAAGCCGUGACCUUCCAGGGAGGAUCCGUUUCCCGAACAGACACUGAACAGCAGCAGAGUCCCGCAGGUGGAGGAACGUGUUAAAUUAAAGCCAAAGCGUAACAAGAGAGAUGUUUGCUCUGGAAGAUAACGUGUGCCUGUUCUUGCACGCUGAGGGUGAGGAAAGUCUCCCAAGACGUGUUUUACUUUGUUACCACAGUAGACCUUUUGCACUGUGAGGCCACAUAGCUCGCCUUUCUCCCCCUUAACCCUUCCCUUUUAAGACCAGGGAUCUCACUCAGCUUUACCAGUGCCUUCAAUGUGACAAACCAGAAGUGCAAUAAAUGGUGGCACUUGCUCCUUUUUCUCCAUCAGUACAUCUCAUUGUGGAGCUGCCCUGACCACACUGCCCAAGUUUGCUGCCCGAACUGAUGCUGUUACUGAGAUGCACGGGGCUCUGGUAUCUGCACACUGGUCGAUGGUUGGAGACAAGGGAAAGGCAUGCUCUGAGCAAGGCACCCUUUGGUGAGGCUGCUAUAAUGAGCCAGCUUCGUUAUCUGCCUUGCUGCUGGUCCCAGAGAGGCUGCAGGGAUGUCUGCUUCUUUAUUUUCUUAAAUGGCACCAAAUGAUGGCAGUUAAAAGCCUACCAGGAGAAAAUGAGCUCUUAGGGCAGCAUUUCAUGUCUUGUGUGCAAGGCUUUAUUGGAUUAACUUUGUACUAGAACCGCCGUACGCUUCCUUUGCUGGAGAGGCCGAUCUAGCUUAACUGUGGGAUAAAAACUUUACAACCAUACUUUUGUCACACAGGUGACUUGCAUAAAAAAAUCUUUAUAUGCAUUAAUGUCACCUGAGUUUCAGCAGGCCCUGUUUCUCAGUGAUCUCCGUCUCUGUCUUAGUGCUGCACUCAUCCCAGUGUUAAGUACGUAACUCUCCUGCUUUGCUUCUAUUUUCCACAUUACGGACAGUGCGUUUCCUUCCUCUCGCGUGCACCCCUUGCAAACGUAGAGGUGCUGUGAGAGAACCCCCCGGUGCUACUGUCGCUGUUCAGGUGAUGCUUUUUGCCUCUGUGGGCACCUGCAGCUCGGCAGCUCCAGCCGGGCAGCAUUGCCAGCCUGCGGGAGGGAGACCUGAAUACUUCCAGCUACUUGCGCAUUAUUUACACGCAAAGUUAAUAACUGACUCAAGAGUUCAUCUACAAAUAUAUUUUUAGGGCUGUUCUUGGUAAAUUUUUCCCCUCUCGAAUGCAGAACUCUUGUUUUCUGUAAUUUCUUUCCUAUAUUUUCCCUUAACCCUUAUCCAUUUUAACAUUAAUGUGUUAGCUGUGAAACAGCUGGUGUAUUCUCAGGCUCUUCUCCCUUACCUGCUGAUUAUUUCGUUUUUUUCACCGUCCUCUAUCUCUACUUUUGUUGUUUGCAAAAACCAGCUUUUCUCCUCCCUCUCCCUCUUCACAGCUCCCACCAUCUGUCUCUCUACAAAUAAAAAGCUUUAGGGGAAAUGAUUCACUAAGCUGCUAGCUCAUUACUCACACUCUCCCCAUCACGGUUUCUGUCCUUGUAGGAUGCUCUAACUAAUGUAAAGAUCAAUAAAUCCUGGGAAUUGUUAUUCAAUUAAAAAAAAAAAAAUGCCCCAGCAGUUAAAUAGAUUGGGCUCUUUGUACUUCCUGAACACCAAUGCUUAGUUUUUCUUCCUCACGCCGCUAGCCUUGUUUUUCAGCGAAGGAUCAUUGAAACAGAAGAACAGAAAUGAUCACCGGACCAUUUAAUGCAACCUUGUGUAUCACAUGAUGCGGGAGUUACUUAAUGAAAUUCCCUGCCCCAAACCAAGCAAAUCUGUGGUAAAUCUAGAGCACAUAUUUUAGGAUGACAGCCAAAAUGAUGAAAGGAAUUUACUACCCAGCCUCGCUAAUCAUUUUGAAUGCUUAACUGCACUCCCUAAUAUGCUGCUUUGGAAGCAGCAAAACUGACACAGCCUCAUUCCCUACAGACUUCUCUCCCUCCUCCAGCCUUCCCCAGGCUGCGUACCCCGAAAGCCCUCCCAACCCCCUGCCAGCCCUGUGCGGAGGCAGGGUGGCCAGCUGUGACUCCCGUGAGUGCUGGCUGGCCAGCUGUGACUCCCGUGAGUGCUGGCUGGCCAGCUGCCCACCCUGGGAAGAGACCUGCUCGGGCCUGAGCCCCGCUGCCUCUCUCCCCCAGCACGCAGGUUCGGCGCUGGCUCUUCGCUCAGGUUAUUAUUUCCAUGAAACUCGUGGGCACUUAGUCUCUUUGAGCAUCUCCCUAUUAAAUGUGGUAGAAAUUAGCUAAGGGGCUCGGGAGCCAUUUCGGUCAGACUAGUUCACAGUGGUAAAACAUUUCAGAUAUCUUAAAAUACCAGAGACAGCCCUCUUGAGCUGGCAGAUACGCCAUAGCAUUUCAUGGGACUUGCUCAACCUGGAAGCUGAGCUCAGCUCUGUAGGGCACUCCAGGCGACCCUAAAAGCCAAUGUUUAGGUACCCACAUCCCACUCCUUUUGUCUUCACUUUGUUGACCUUUUAAGAAGGAUUUCUGUCAUGUUUUUAGGCUAGUCACCAUAUACUAGAAAGUUAUUUUCUUCAUUGGAAUCUUCACUUUUACAUGGAAAACGGACGCCCCUGCCCACACAAGUAGGUAACAAGAAGCACCACCACCUAACACAGUUUUAUUGCGCCUUGUCAGGAAGCUGCCAGCACGGCAGGUAUUGGCUUAUUUCAGUUGCUGAGUUUCCCUUUAGAAAUUGGAGUUGUAAGCAGCACAGCAAAUACCACAAUCGAAAUUUUAAGAGCUGCAAAUGCUGGAUACACCCUUCUCCCCCUUCUCUUAAAUGGCUGCAACUCUUUAUGCAAAAGCCUGCUAAAGGAAAACCCGAGUAUGUCUGCAAUGUGGAUUUUUUUUCUCGUGAGCACCACAAAGCACAUCCUGUAUCAACAUACCACACCGGCACCACAUUCAUGGGAAGCUAAUUAAAUAAUUUGGGUAGUCUUAACAGGAGCAUCAGCGUCUCUGCUAGUUUAGUUUUCAGACUACCAAACAUUUUUUUAUAAAGCUGUGUUGGGGUCCUUCCAUAACAAAUAAUAAAGCUGAGGAGGACCUUGGAAAGAGCCUGCAUUGAGCAGCCAUGAAAUGCUCUGUUUCUGAGCAGGACAUUCUUACACAACUACUCUGAAGAAUAAAGGCUGCAGAGUUUUAAGACAACAGGGUCCACUAUUACCUCAGUAAGGUUAAGGCAGUUUUAAAAAAAGAACCCUCAAAGUGGUACUUAACGUGCUCUGUUAAAAGAA
Falco peregrinus (peregrine falcon) is the source of this 8457-nucleotide long non-coding RNA. RefSeq lists it as uncharacterized. The transcript has 2 exons. NCBI's taxonomy places the organism in Eukaryota, Metazoa, Chordata, Aves, Falconiformes, Falconidae. The record is from RefSeq and is a predicted model, not a curated record.